GAACAGGCAAAUCCGGCGAAAGCCGGCGACGCAAAGCUAUAGGGCCUUUUAAAUGGCAGCCAGCUGCA
Molecule: non-coding RNA, 68 nt
Filed under: uncultured Eubacterium sp.
Lineage: Bacteria; Bacillati; Bacillota; Clostridia; Eubacteriales; Eubacteriaceae
Description: Cyclic di-GMP-I riboswitch
Rfam family: c-di-GMP-I riboswitch aptamer
About the family: GEMM was predicted in a large-scale screen for bacterial structured RNA regulatory elements.
Source: RNAcentral